This 1739-nucleotide long non-coding RNA is filed under the name Rhipicephalus microplus (southern cattle tick). RNAcentral describes it as "uncharacterized LOC119177281". Lineage: Eukaryota; Metazoa; Arthropoda; Arachnida; Ixodida; Ixodidae. The record is from RNAcentral.
ACCUCUGAAAAAACCGUGAGUUGCACUGUUUCAAAAAGUACUUAAAUGCAAAAGCUACAAGCUGGAUUCAAACUGCCAUUUUAGCAACUCACUAGAAACAUAGAGGCUGUAAUGGUGUACAUGACUGACUAUCUUUUAUGGGGUAGUCAUGGUAACUACACUCAAACUUAGGAAGUAUGCAGGGUCACCCAGCCAAGCGAAAUUCACAGUCACGUGCACCACAGACCAGCUGGAUACCUAAUGUGAAGUGAGAAGGAGUAGACGUGCUUACUUACAUCUACAUUACUACACAACUAGUUUGUGUAUUGCUAUGGUGUUUAAGCAGCAGAACCUAAUUCCCAUUGGGGAUAGCACUGCAAGACAUAAUAUAACAAAAUUUUUAUCGUACCUUUAGAAGAUGCAGUUUACAUCUUCGUGCUUUCAGAUGUGAAAAAAAUUUUGGCACGAAUUUUAAUCCUUGCCAUUGCCAAAUGUAGAAUGCACAGAAAUAAAUUGAAAACUCAAGAAAAGUAUUGGAAAACACAGUGGCACCCAUCUUGCCUGCUACGACCCCUUUAAAAAGACUAAAGAAAUCACUUUGAACUGUAUGUAAGAAUGUUAAAUUACCUUUUUUUAUUAGUGGAGGUAGGCAUUUUGUGAAAUGGGAGUAUUGAAUUCAUUCAUGCAAAAAUCCCAUUGCAGUUUAGAAAUUUUCAAAAACCGACCUCUAGUAAUAUUUGAGAAGAAAUGAAAUUCACCCACAUUCAGCCGCGAUACUAAAACACGGAAGAGCGUCACUGCCCUACUUCGUCAAGAAUAAGUGAGCAUCAUUAUAUCGACCACCAACCAACUUCGUUGUGUGGGCGUGCAGGCUGUGCUUGCAAUUAAACGCACAUGGCACACAACAAAUACAGAACUUUGCCUCUUCUGUAAUCUUUGUUUCCAACAUUCUGGUCUUUUGCUUGUGCUCAUCUGUGCUUCAGUUUUGGUUCCAUCAUUGAACAAAACUUAUUUUCUUAAAUUUUAUUUUAUUGGUUUGAGCACAGAAUGAACUGUAUUUCAACCUAGCUUUAGCUGAGAAGUUCAAGCAGUGGUGAAUGUAUUGCACAAAUAGAGGCAGUUUAAGAUCUUCAGCAGCUGAGAUAUUUAAGCAAUUUUUAUUGCUUCUGUACAUGAGCUCUUGAAAUAAAUUUAUCUCUGUAAUAGCUACCUGUAAUCACGUCGUUGGCACUUAAUGCCAGUUUCUAGGAGUGUGACAUUGCAUUUUCAAAACAAGUGCAUAUAGUGAUAGACUAAUCGAACGCAUGCUCUGAGUCAACCAAUGUAGAACUGUGCAAACAAAUCUUGCCUAAUACAUUCAAUUUUACAGCACCCAAUUUGCUUGACGUAAAAUCGGAAGAAUGGCGCUACUGGAAGCUAGAUACAAAGAAAGGUGGUAAUGUUAGCGUAGAAAUGUUUGAAAUUACCCUCGGAUGCAUCUUCAGAGGCAUCGACAAGAACAGCAUCGAGGUCUUCCAGAAACUUUUGCAUGUGACGUUUCUGUCUGGCUAUUUUUACUAUUUUUCCUGAAGCAGGCCCCAAGAAUUCUUCCAGUUUCUCCAUUAUGGGCACUUUGGUAACUGCAAUCAUGUGAUCAUGGAUCGCCUCACACACAAAAGUAUGACUGGCAACAAGUACAAGGAAUGAGUGCCACUGCAGCAGCUGUCAUCACAGUUUGGUUGAGUGAGAUCACAUAAUAAAAGUAUUUCGGAAAGUUGUUA